Molecule: ribosomal RNA, 429 nt
Filed under: Actinomycetes bacterium
Lineage: Bacteria; Bacillati; Actinomycetota; Actinomycetes
Description: Actinobacteria bacterium partial 16S ribosomal RNA
Rfam family: Bacterial small subunit ribosomal RNA
Source: RNAcentral
UAGGGAAUCUUCCGCAAUGGGCGAAAGCCUGACGGAGCAACGCCGCGUGAGUGAUGAAGGUCUUCGGAUCGUAAAACUCUGUUAUUAGGGAAGAACAAAUGUGUAAGUAACUAUGCACGUCUUGACGGUACCUAAUCAGAAAGCCACGGCUAACUACGUGCCAGCAGCCGCGGUAAUACGUAGGUGGCAAGCGUUAUCCGGAAUUAUUGGGCGUAAAGCGCGCGUAGGCGGUUUUUUAAGUCUGAUGUGAAAGCCCACGGCUCAACCGUGGAGGAUCAUUGGAAACUGGAAGACUUGAGUGCAGAAGAGGAAAGUGGAAUUCCAUGUGUAGCGGUGAAAUGCGCAGAGAUAUGGAGGAACACCAGUGGCGAAGGCGACUUUCUGGUCUGUAACUGACGCUGAUGUGCGAAAGCGUGGGGAUCAAACAGG